UCGGGAAUUUUGGGCAAUGGGGGAAACCCUGACCCAGCAACGCCGCGUGAAGGAUGAAGUAUUUCGGUAUGUAAACUUCGAAAGAAUAGGAAGAAUAAAUGACGGUACUAUUUAUAAGGUCCGGCUAACUACGUGCUAGCAGCCGCGGUAAUACGUAGGGACCAAGCGUUGUUCGGAUUUACUGGGCGUAAAGGGCGCGUAGGCGGCAUGACAAGUCACUUGUGAAAUCUCUGGGCUUAACCCAGAACGGCCAAGUGAUACUGCUUUGCUAGAGUGCAGAAGGGGCAAUCGGAAUUCUUGGUGUAGCGGUGAAAUGCGUAGAUAUCAAGAGGAACACCUGAGGUGAAGACGGGUUGCUGGGCUGACACUGACGCUGAGGCGCGAAAGCCAGGGGAGCAAACGGGAUUAGAUACCCAGUAGUCCCUGAGCGGGCUGGCAAGGCGCAU
RNAcentral lists this ribosomal RNA (446 nucleotides) under uncultured bacterium. Its description in RNAcentral is "bacterial SSU rRNA". It matches the Rfam family "Bacterial small subunit ribosomal RNA", at positions 355 to 825 of the family's 1533-position model. The record is from RNAcentral.